RNAcentral lists this long non-coding RNA (1338 nucleotides) under Gallus gallus (chicken). Its description in RNAcentral is "lncRNA (ENSGALG00010003306.1)". Lineage: Eukaryota; Metazoa; Chordata; Aves; Galliformes; Phasianidae. The record is from RNAcentral.
CUCUGGGUGCCCUUCGUCUGCUGCAUUCUCUCACAUGAUGUCUGAGUUCUGAGAUGACCAGAAAACUGAAAGAUCCCCAUUGCACCCAGGGAUUGCUCUCUUCAUUAUGGGAAACAUUCUGUUUUCUGGCAGUUGGAUGCAGCUUGACAUUUUCACUUCCUCUUUUACUGCUUUAUUUGCAUUGGGGAACUUGGCAAGAGGAAUAUCAGGUGAAAAUGCAUGAGCCAGCUGUACCCGUGCCAGCUUGUGUCCAGAAGCCUCACUGGCUUGAUGAAAGGAAUGGGUGGAGUGAUUUUCCAGUUUGUGUUGAGGGAACACCACCCCAUUAUGAAGCCUUCCCAGAAAAUGAAUGUCUAAUCUUCUUAUGACUCUUCUAAGGAAAAAAUAAUUUCAGCCUGAAGAACCUGUUAUUAACUCUAUGCAAGUCAGAGAUUUCCUACAGAAAACAAUGGCUGAAGAUUUCUUGUGCACACACUGGAGAAAUUGGUUAUCAUCUGGAGGAUGGAACGUGAGAUCCAUUGAUCUGUUUUUCAGCUCUUUGGGCUAUAAUUUCUUCUUACCAACAAACUGUAAUUCUCAAAUGGUUGAAGAAUAUAAAACAGUUAAGAGUCUGAUUCUGGAAAAUACCUGAGUACCUAUGGACCUCUCUUUGAAAACAACUGACUUCAAAGAAGUGCUGUUCCAAAUAGGGAUGGAUUUCUAUCUGUGCUUGGACACAUUUCUGAAUCGGGGCCUUGGGCUGAUUUACAUAGAACAUUCAACUUAAUUAAUCCAAAUUAACUUAAAGUAUGAACUGAAAAUGGAUUAAGCUUUAUACAAAGUGGAAUUAAGACUACUUUAAUUUAAAAAAGUCUUUACAGGGUUAAAUGCACUUUAACUAAUCUGCUUUAAAUUAAGUCUUUAGUUAAUUUGGAUUAAUUUUCCCAAGUGUCUUUGUGAAAACCAGCUCAGAGUUGGGAUCCAGCCUGGGCAGUAAUCACAGAAAUGCUUUGUAUUAGAGGAAUUAUUGCCAUGCCUAAAGUUAAGGAUGUGCAUAGUGUUUGGUAUGCAGUAAGGUCAAUGUGCUUCAGAGCCAUGCCCGUUUCUGCAGCAUGCAGUGACUUGAAACCAAUUUAAAUGUCUCAUUAUGAAUGAGUUUUCACCAUGAUUGAUCAGUUUAUGUAGUAUCAGCAAAGAAUGUGUAAUCAGACUGUGUUCUGUCUUUACUGUUUGAGUACAUGAACAAACACUUGGUGACACAGACUAUGGGUAUCAUCUCCAAGCUCAUUCAAACCAAGCCCGGCAGCUAUACUACAAUACUUGCAGCAUAUUAAUUUUGCAUUUCUUUUGAUGCUUGUG